RNAcentral lists this long non-coding RNA (19798 nucleotides) under Gossypium barbadense (sea-island cotton). RNAcentral describes it as "long non-coding RNA (GBAR_LNC021877)". The record is from RNAcentral. Lineage: Eukaryota; Viridiplantae; Streptophyta; Magnoliopsida; Malvales; Malvaceae.
CCUCAAACCUGGCUGAAUGCAUAGAUCCUAUUCUAAAAUAAACGCGUCAUUUGCUGAUAACCUCGGUUGUGUGAGAGACAUAUUUCUGUUUGGCGAAACUAUUUCCAAAGCUAGUGAGUUAUAAAGGCCAAAUGCAGGGAGGCCAUGGUGCGAGAAGAUAUUGCAAGAAAUUAACAAGGCGAAGGCGCGGGCCAACACCAUGCACACAGUGUGUUACGAUGGCAACAACUUAUGGUUUUUUGUAACAGAGUUUAAUAGACCGAACCAAGGUAUUACCGGCGGGAAAUAUCGUGUACACCUGAGAAAUAGGACUUGCGACUAUGGGACGUUUUACGCACUUCGUUAUCCAGGAACUCAUGCCAUUGCAACUUGUCAGAAUCUUCAUUCGGAUCCCAUGAGCUAUGUCGAUGAAGUGUACAAAAUAGAAUACAUGUACAAUGUGUGGAGACACGUAUUCCUACCGGUCCCAGAUGAACGUAAGUGGCCACCUGUAUCGCUUACUCUAUUUAAGUUGUUACCAGAUAGAGAAUUGCAUCACAAACUAAAAAGUCAACAUUGCUCGAGUAUAAUACAUGAUAAUAUGGAUAUCCAGGAAAGAAUGAACCAACAAAAGUCGUGCGGAUGGUGUAGGAACCCAGAUCAUACAAUUCAAACAUGUCUAAAUCGAAAUAGUUGAUAAUUGCUUAAAUUAAACUAUGCUGCAUUAUUUCUAUUGCCUUAUUCAAAAGAACUUUUAUUUUAUUAAAUAGGAUAAAAUAUAAAAAUAAUUUACUAUUAAAAUAUUCAAAACAACUUUUAUUUUAUUAAAUAAAACAAUAUAAAAAUAGUUUGUACAAAUAUAUUAAAAAAAUCAAUGUAUGUGCCAUUCGAAAUUAGGGCCACAUGGGGGUGGUUGACAGUUACGCGCUGGAUUCCUUCUUGAUUCAACUUUCGGCACGGGCUGUGGUUGCUCCGGCGAGGGUUGUGAUUGUUCUGGUUAUGGGUGUUGGGAGGAUGACCCACCUUGAUAGAAUAAAGAAUACGGAGGUGUUUGAAUCACCCACGGCAGAGGUGUUUGAAUCUCAUAUGGCGAUUGGGAUUGGAAAUGAGAUAAGCUCCCUGACGGUGCCUCAUAUGAUCCCUCCUGAGACGAUGGUCUAUAUAUCUUCGGUUGAGUCAGAGUGAUCGGAAAAGGAGAUGCACUGGGUCAUACAUUCCAACCUGGCAUAGGACUGAGAAAAGAAAAUAUAUAAGGGUUAUGAUACACACCUGGCAUAAUCUGAAAGGGCUGUGGUGUGGGCAUUGUCGCUUGAGGCAUUGGGCCCGGUAAUUGUGUGGGCACUGUUCAUAAGCCCGUGCCGUCAUCCUUUCUCAUUGGAUUUAAAGGGCCCCGUCGUUCUCUUUCGACAUGGAUUUGCCAAUGCCUAUACUCUUCUGAGAGCAAAUAUGGCUUGUCAUAGAUCCUAAGCCAUGGCAUGUAAUCCGGUGCGCACGCUAACUCUAGAACGAUGAUCGGUUCGCGAGUAGGUAUAUGAACAUACCGAUUUUCCUAAUUUUCGAUAUAUACUGAGAAGAAUACCAGCCAAUGCAUAUUCAAUUGUCGUAAGUCAAUUUUGUGCUCAUCAUCGAGCACCUCAGGUGUCACGGAAAUUAGUUGUCAGAAUCUAAAUUGCUGCAACACUCUAUUUGUCUGGUGCAUUUCGAAAGUAGCAUAGUUGACCAAUGGGACUUUAACAUGCCAAAUGUUCAGAUUUCGAGAGAAUUCAUCUGGAAUUACUACCUGAAUUGUCGGAUCCUCAUAUGGUGUCCAUUAAAAUUAUAUGAAUGUGAUAAAAAUAUUAAUUAUAUACAUAAUACUAAAUACUACACGCUUCCGACCGUUGGUCUAAUAGAAUCCGUAUAUCUUCAAGAACGGUAAGUAUUCCAACAUAACUCGCUGAAUGGUUCUACCUAAUUAAAUAAAUUUUUAGCAAAAAAAUUAUAUUUUAAAUCUAUGUAAUUCUUGUAAAAUCUAAUAUAAAAUUUACCUCGUUAUGAGUGGGAAUGUAUAUAGGUGGUUUACUCGAGGACGUAAAAAUGGAAAACGAAAUCGAACCCAUGAUUAUAGUAGUGACAGGCAACUUCCGAUUUGGGCUUUAUUUGGUUUCGUCGCCCUACACAUCUCCCGGUACAAUGUUGUGAACACGGAAGACCCCUAACUAAGUUCGCCAGCUACUUUAAAAUUAACGAGUUUUAGCAGUCACCUCAGAUGUACAAGGUUUCAUGACACGUCCAGCAUCCGAUAACCUCCAAUGAUCUCAAGGAUGUAUGGCCGAGCAUAUCAUAUUCUUUCUAUUUCAGUCGAAUCAUUAACCGGCUCCAGAAAUGUGUCUUGUAACCAGCCAUCUCGAUCUAACCUCUGUAAAUAUUAUCUGGAAGCAUACCCAAAAUAUCGUAGCAUAUGGCUCCCCAAUCAACAGUUUGAGCGAACCUGGUGAGUACGAAACCAUCCACCGGCAAUCUCAAUUGCUACUGCGCGUCCUCUAAAGUGAUGGUACACUUUCCGCAUGGAAGAUAGAAUGUGUGCGUCUCGAGUCUCUACCUCUCUAUGAACGCACUGAUGAGUUUCGGGUUUAACUUGUACCCCCGGACUAUAUUGGCCACGUGCCAAAAACCCGCUUCCUUCAAGUAAUUUUCUAUCAACGGUGAUGGAGGACUAGAUAUAUUACGAAUAUAACAUUGUAACACCCGAUCUACAAGUUGUUAUGAAAAAUAUAAAAUAAAAAUUAAUUAAAAUUACAUAAAUGAAAAAAAUAUUAAAUAAUAUUCAAAAAUUGGAAUUAACCCUUACCAUUUUCAUUUGUUCGACGGAGAUAUGUUUAUGAUUGAGACGAAUUAAUUCUCCGGCCAUUGCUAACACUAUCAAAUAUUUUUGAAAUUAUAAAAAAUAAUACUAAUUUAGAAAAAAAUUAAAGGAAAUAAUUAAUUAAGUAGAGCUUUGAGAAAUUUAGGGAGAAAUUUGAGAGCUUUUUUGAGAAUUUUGGAAGAAAUGUUUGUGUGAAAAAAAUACGAAGGGGUUUUUAUAGUUUUUUUUUACCGUUGGACCCCCAACGGUCAAAAUUUUAAAUGACUAUUGGGGGUCAAAAACACAGGCUAAAACACGUCCCUGAGGAAGCGAUUUUGCCACGUCAGCAAAGCGCGUCCACGUCAGCGCGUUUUGUGCUAACAUGGCAAAAUCGUUCCCUGAAGGACUCGUUUUGCUGGAAUUUCCCCUUAAAAUGCUCUCACGUGGACACGUUUUAAUAUUUUUGGCUCAUUCCAGUAAAUAAUGAAAAAAGUAGCUAAUUUCCAUAAAUAAGGUAGGAAAUGACUUUUAUUGAUAAAAUGGUCUUUUUAUACAUUCAAACCAACUUUAGUUUCUUCUUUUAUUUUUUUUAUUUUUUUUAAUUUCACUAUUGCAUUUCAUACUUUAUUAAUGUACAACAAAUUUUUAAUAAACAAAAAAAAUUAUUAUUUGUUCGGUAUAAAAAAAUAGAUAUUUGAUGGAUUAACAAUGUACUUUUUUUAUUCUAUAAAUAGUCUUAAAAAUUUGAUGUGUAUCUCUUUUUUUAAAUAUCUAUUUUUUUAAUAUUUUAGUACACCUGUACAGGAUAGUUGUCAAUUCAUUGACAUUGCUUGUGGAAUUUAAAGACUCGACUGACACUGAACUAAAUAUUUUCUCAUAAAAAAUGGAUAAGUAUUUGGUACAUUGACAUUGAACUUUUUGUAUUCCACAAGCAACUAAAAAUUCUACUGUUAGUGUACUAAAUGUUAUUCCUAAAAAAAUUUAAAAAAUAUAUUAAUAAGUAGAAGGGUUGAUAUUUAGUACACUAACAAUGUACUUUUUUAUUUCAUAAGCCGACUUAAAAAAUUAUCACAUGUAUCUUUUUUUUUAAUAUUUUACUAUAUCCCUAUAGAACAUUUGUCAACCCAACCCUUACUUGUAGAGUCUAAAAACUUCGCUGGUAGUGUAACAAAUAUUAUUUUAAGGUUGUGUUUAGUAGGGGUGAGCAUUCGAUCGAAUCGAAUUGAAAAUUUUCGAGUUAAUCGAGUUUUUGAAUCUCAUUUUAUCAUCCUAACUUUAUUUCAAGUUUUCUCGAAUCGAGUCGAGUGAGAUGAAAUUCGAAUCGAAUCGAAUCGAAUAUAUUUGUUCGAGUUAAAUUUUAAAAAAUAAUUUUGGGUCCUUGUAACCACUGUCACCCAUCGUAAUAAAAUUUGUCCACCUUAAUCAAAUUUUUUAACUUUCAUCACCUCAUAAUUUAUUUAUUAAUUUUUAUAUACUGGUUAGCUUCUUUGCUUGCUUAGUUGUUUCAAUUAUCUUCAGAUUCUUGUCACUAUGUAUUUUGGAAUUAAAAAAUAUAUUAAAUGUAAAAAUAUACUUUUUAAUAAAAGUUAUUUUAAAAAUAAAAUGUGAAAUUGAUACCAAUAUAAAAUUUUAACACAAAUAUUUAUGGCAUAAUUAAUAAUUUAAUUUUAAUAUAAAUAUUCAAUAUGACUAAACAAUUCAAUAAUAUAAAUAAUAUAAAAUGUGAAAUUUAAUUUAAUAAUAUAAAUAGUAGAUAUAAAUAAAAUUAAUACUACUUAUGUUUAGUGAUUUUUUUUUGGAUAAUUUUGAUUUUUUAUUUGAGAGUAAAAGGGUGAGAAGUAAAAGUUUAGGGGGAAAAUAAAAAGUUUUGGGAAUAAAAGUUUGAGGGAAAGUAAAUAGGGGAGUAAAAUUUUGGAGGAAAAAUAUUAAAAAAAUUUGGAGGGGGGAGGGUUUGGGGUAGAUGGGAGGUGGGAUGGGAAGGGAAUAAAAAUUUUAAGGGAAAAGUGAGAGGGAGUAAAAAUUUUGGGGGAAAAUAAAAAGUUUUGAGGGGUUUUGGGAGUAAAAUUUUGAGAAAAAGUAAAUGGGAAAGUAAAAUUUUGGUGGGAAAUAGAUUUUGAGUAGAUUGGGGGGUUGGGAGGGGAGGGGAGGGGAGUAAAAGUUUUAAUAUAAAAUGUUAUAGUUUGAUAUUCGAAUUCGAAAACUCAACUCGAUUCGAACUCGAAAUUUGAAAAAAAAAUUCGAGUUGAUUCGAAUAACUCGAUUAAUUCAAUUCGUUUAACUCGAAAUUUAAUUUUUUUUAUUUUUUCGAGUCGAAUCGAGUUUUGCUCACUCCUAGUGUUUAGCAAUGCUUAAAAAAAUACUUUUGGCUUGAAAAACACUUUUUAAAAGAAAAGUUGCAUUAAACAAACAAUUUUUGGCUGAAAAGAGUGGAUUUUCAAGAGCACUUUUACUUAAAAUUUUUAGUUUUUCUUAAGCCAAAACCACUUCUGGAAACAUUCUUACUUUUUCAUCCCUCCAUUUUUCUUCUCCCAUUUUCCAUUCACUUUAAAUUGCAAAUGUUAAUGUAAAUUUUUUAAUAUUUAUAUUUGGUAUAUAAAUAUUACCCUUUUUUGAAAAUUUAAUUCAAAUACAUGUAAUAUUUUAAUUUGUUAGGUUUAUGUGUUUUUUUUAUGUUAUGUUAAUAUCUAAUAUGUGUUAUAUAUUCAAAUUACAUUUUAAAAUAAAAUUAUUAAUUAAAAAUUAAAAAAACAUUUCUUAAAAUAAUACAAAUGUGCUAAUAUCUAAUUACAAAUAUUUAAUAGUUAUAUUUAAAUAUUUAAAAUAUAGUUUUAUAUUAUAUUUAAAUUUUAUAAAUAAUUAAUAUUAAUUACUUAAAAAUAUUUAAAAUUUAUAUUUCAUAUAUUAAGAUAUUAACAACAAGUUAUAAUAAAUUAUUUUUCUAUAUUCUUAUAAAAAUAUAAUAAUAUUAACUAAUUUGAACAUUAUUUAAAUGUUUAUUUGUUACUUUAUAACACCAUGUCUAAAAUGUGCAUUUUAUUUCUUAGAAGUACUUUUUGAUAGCAAUACUAAACACUUAAAUCUUAAACCAAAUAUUUCAAAAGUACUUAUCAAAAUUAAUUUUCCAAAGCACUUUUUAAAAGCUUUUCAAAAAUACUUCUAAAAAUCACUUUUCCAAAGCACUUCUUAAAAACAAUGCUAAACUAGCCCUAAGUAGAAUUCUUAAUGGAAAUAAAUGUUAAAUUUAUUCAAAAAUUGGAUAAAUAUAGUAGGUAAGUUUUAAAAAAUAUUAUUAUUUCUAUAUAAAACUAUAAAAUAGACUAAAUUAAACAAUGUCUUAAAUCCUUAAAGUACCUUUAAUCACUCAACCAAUGAAUGUUGCAUUUUUCUCCCUUCAACUAUAAUUCCAAUCAAGUUUGGUAAAAGAAAAAGCUAGGAGUAGACUAGAUUGAUUUCAAACUAAUUUAGGAAUUAAAUUGAAAAUUAAUGUAAAAUAAAAAUUUAAACACAAUUCUUUUAUCCCGGUGGAAUAUUCCACACCAAUUUAUUUAUAAGGAAGUUUGCUUAGCCCACUGCUCAUAAAAAGUUAGGAUCAAUUGAACCGGCAUAAAAUAUGUUUAAUAAACAAAAAGAACAUUAAAAGUAUUUUUAUUCUUAAAACAGAAAAAAAAAAUUGAAUCCAAAUUUUAAAAAAUUUAUUUUAAAGAUUAUAUGGCUAAGAAAAUUUAUUUUUUAUUUUAUUUUUUCGACCCAAUCGUCGAGUCCGAGUUAUAAGGUGUCACUUUCGUUGCUGGAGCAACUACAAUCAAUUCACAGUUCAAUUUAUAACAUAAAACAUCCCGAUAUAAGUUAAACAUGUAUAUAAAACGUUUCAUGUACAUUUUCAGGUCUUAUACAAGCUUACGAAAGCUCUAUUGCUAACCCGAGGUCAAUUUAGGACCAAAUGUAAGAAUUUCAUAACAUUGGGUUGACGUUGCGACGUCAGGGGUUCCUCGUUGCAACACAACAUACUGAGUAGGUCUCAUCGUGACAUCGAAUACAUGUUGUCACAACAUGAAUCCUUUGUUGCUCCUCGUCGUGACGUUGGGGAUAUGUCGUCGUGAUGUGACAUCCUGUUUCUAUAAAAAUCAACAUGGUACAAGUUUGAGAGACCUAUAAUAAUACUUUACAUUUCAAUUAUAACCAAAACAAAAAUAUGCCAAAAUGGUGCUUCAAAACAACAUCGAGCAACCAAGUUUUAAAUUCAACCGUUUUCGGUACAAAAUCGACUUAAACCUUAGGUACAUGUCAUAUACUAAUCAAAAGAGAACUUUACAAACUUUAUUGAAUCGGGGAUCGCUUGCUAGAUGUGCUCAAACUAUCUAGAAUCUACUAUACCUGAGCACAGAGAAAACAAAUUGUACGCUGAGCAAUUACACUCAAUGGUAAUUUCCAUAUCAAGUUACAAAUAAGCAUGAUCAUAUAAGAAUUCAAUUCAAAUAUACUACAAUUCAAAUGAAACAAUUUGCGUAUUCAAUACAAGAAUUCUAUUCUCCUACAACAUUCUAUUUGAUAGCCAAACUAACAUUUAUAUCAUCCAUUCUAUUAACAAAGAUGUAACAUAUCUAAUUGAAUUACUUAUAUAUACAAUUAUGUACCAAUAUGAUGUUUAAUCUCAUUUCCAUUCAUAUUUUAUACAACUUAAUCAAUUCACAUUAUCAUUUAUAGAAACAUACGCUCCUUCAUUUACUAUGACCAAUAUGAUACCCUCGUUACCAGAACAGUAUUCCAUUAGUUUAAGACUAUACUUAUUUGGAAGCACAAUUUUAAAAUAAUAAUUUGUUGCAUUUAAAGAUUUAAUGAUGCAUGAGUUAAGCUUUGGCGGCUGUUUAAUUAAUAUCAAUAAGUCACAAAUAACGUUAUGUCAUCAAAACUUCCGAUACACAUUCAAGUGUUUAAAAUAACGUUCAAUACAUUUUAAAUGGUUUCAAAAUGGCGGUAUCUAAUAGUUGUCCUAGCACCCACAGCAAAUACAUGUUAACCCUGAAAAUAAGAAGGCUCACAAAUGGUCACAAAUUUGGUUGUAUCCCUUCAAUCACCACGCUCAACCUAAGAACAUGAAAUGAAGAAGAAUUUGGGUAAGUUCAUGUGAACUUAGUGAGUUACUGGGAAGAACGAUCCCACCAUAAUUACUAUCAGUCAUUAGGAAAUGGGACAUGUAAUUACUAUCAGUCAGUAGAUCAACUGACGAAUACUACCACAAUCAAACUCAACCUAUUGGCGGAUAGAACUGGUUACUAACUCAUAUAUGACAGUAAUCGAUACAUCUACUCCAUGAAUACGCCACUUAUAUGGGCUACCAUUUAUGACUGGCAGGCUUACUAUUUACGUUCUCAUGCAACGUGCACUACUGCAUGCAUUCUUUCUUACGUACCCAUUUUUUGUGCUAGCUUCUGAUCCCGGUUCCCGAAGAACCAAUUUUUCUUAUAUAUUCAUAUCCGUUCAUCAGAUCUAUAUAAAAAUCAAGCUCUCAUGAACUCAAAUCUAUAAAAAAUUAUAAAAAAAAGGCUUGGUUACCUUAACAAAUUUUUGGCCGAAGCUUAACUCUCAAAAAAAAAAAAAGAGUUUUUAUUUGGUUUUUGCUUCAUUAGAUGGUGGGGAAGAUGAUACUCAUCGUCUUUCUCCACUUACAUGAUUUAUUUAGUGUGAUUAACACUAAUUAACCAAGUUUAAUUAAAUUAAACUUAUUUUAUACUUUAAUUAAUCUUAAUUUAGUAAUAAUUAAAUAUCUAAUAGUAGCCAUAAUCAAAGUCCACUAAAUAAUGAUUAUUAUUGGUUUAUUAACCAUUUUAGCCCCUUGGAUAAUUACUAUCUAGGUCCCCAAGUUUUUUUCUAAUUAAAAAUCUGUAGCAAUUAAACGUUUACAAAUUUAGUCCUUGAACCUUAAUUAACUAUUAAUUCGGAAAAAUUACUGGACCAAACUUUAAGAUAACAAUAUAUUAUACACAUAAAUAUUACGAACUUGGUUUAUGAAAACGAGAUCCUGAAAUCGUAACUUUCGACACCAAUAAAUUUCAAGUCGUUACAAGUUAAUCCUAAAGAAACAAAAUUAUGAUUUUUCAAAAUUCUUCUCUCCUUAGUUGGCCACACCUUUGAAAUAAUUAAUAGAUUGCAUUUUAUAAUUGCUUAGAUAAUUAACAAUUAUAUUCACUUCUUAAUGUAAAAACAAGAAUUCAAAAUUUAUUCAUGCAUAAAGAAUUGCACUACUUGUAGCUACAAAGAUGUCAUCCAAUUUUCCAUUACUUGCAUUGAAUUUUUCCAACAUCAACUAAAUUGUUGUAUGAUCCUUAUGUAUUGCAUCAAGACAAGUAGUUAUUUCAUCUAGAAUAUUAUCUUUUACCUAUAUUUGUUUGAUUAGAUUUCGGUUCUCUUCCUUUAGACAAGAAUUCUACUCAACUAGCUUCGCAUUAACAUCACACACCUGCUCUCAUUUCUCCAGCAUUAUCUUGUAAGUCUGCAUAAACUCAGCACUUGAAUCCCAUCUAAAUCAUCAUUAGUAUUAGAGUUAGUUGUGACAGGGAUAUUAACUUUAGUAAAGAAAGCCACAUAGUUACUCACAUAUUUUUCAUUUGAAUCUAAGCUGCUUCAAGAAUCCUCUUCACUCCAUGUUACACACAAAGACAACUUGUAUGUGGCCAAAACGAUGACAUUCAUAACAUUGAAUGCCAUACUUUUUCUUUUUGGUAGACUCAUCAUUGAUCACAACACAUUUUUGUCUAUUUUUGGAGAAUUUCUUAAUAGCCUUAAACUUGUUAUUCCUCAUGGUUGCUUCUUUAAAGCUUUAAUAAAAUUCUAAGUUAGCAAUACUACCUACUUUCACAGUUAUUCGAUAAUAGUGGUACCUUCAGUUGAAAUAGCUUCUGUCACUUGUAAGGUAAUGCUCUUCUCUCCUUUAGAUAUGUUUCUUCUUAACUUGUCUAAAUUGAUCUUAAAAGCCCGUAAAGACCCAAUAAUUUCAUUGAUUCUCGUAUUAAUGUCUUUUACCUAUUCAAUGGUAGUGACUUCAAUAGUAAAUCUCUCUGGCAAAGAUCUAAGCACCUUCUUCACAAGUUUAAAAUUGGAGUACUCGUUUCCAAAGGGGAAAACUUGAUCAAAUGGGUCACACAAUUUUGCAUAUAAUUCACCAAUAUUUUUCUUUUAUUGCAUCCUGAGAGUUUCAAACUUGGUGGUUAACAUUUACAUCUUAGAUUCCUUUACAAUAUUUGUGCCUUUAUGUGAAGUCUCAAAAAUAUCUAAAGCCUACUUAGUAGUAGUGCACUUGGAUAUCCUUUUGAAUUCCUAUCCAUCCACACCACUAAAAAUUGCGUCCAAUUCCUUUGAAUUGGAAUCGGCUAGUUUCUCCUCCUUCAUGGUCCAAGUAAGCUCGAACUUUUUUGUUUCCACUUAGAUGUCUCAGUUGUAAGGAACUCCCAUCUAGUAAAAACAACAAACCAAGCUUUUCAUCCAUUGCCUUGAUGAAUGCAUUCAUCCUAGCCUUCUAGUAGGCGUACUUAGAACCAUCCAUCAUUAGAGGAUGAGACACAAGUGUUUCUUCCAUUUCAAGAAAGUAUUGACACCAGGAAUACCACUUGAUAAGUUAAGUGGGAGGCUCUUAUACCAAUUUAAAGAGGACAAGCUAAUAUUUGCUAAAACACAAGAGUAAUGAUAAGAGUAGUUACAACUACAAGUGGAAUUGUGAAAAGAAAAGAAAAAACACAUAGCAAUUCUUUACACAAUCGAUUUCCCUACAUUGGCAAGGCCUUGCCAGGGAGACAAUCCACUAUCUUUAACCUUGUAAAAACAGUGGUUUAAGUCCUAUCAUACACUAGUAUAGGAAUCUUACUUUUUGUACCUAAGAUCUAGAUCACUUUACUCUAAGCUUUCUCCUUAAAUGCUUAGAUUGUAAAACCAAGUGACUCACUUUUUUUUUACUUAGAAAAUUCAUUCACAAUGAUAAAUUCCUAAAGAAUAGAUCAAGUGCUAAACUCUUUGUACAAAACUUGAUUAAGUCUCAUGAAUAUAUGCUUUUUCGACUUGUUAACAUACUAAAUCAAUUACAAUCUCAAUCCCCAUCAAAGUCGUAAUAAAAUUAGCAUUGAGAAUUUCCUAAUAAAGUGCAGGAUAAGUUAAAGACCUCCAAGAUAAGUUUCCAGGUUAUCCAACCUAAUGUUUUCAAAUCGGGGAAUUCGAUUGCUUAAUCUAAUUCGAUCCAAUCUUAAAGAUAUGUUUCUUUAUAUGGAUCGAUCUUCAAAUAUGAGCCAACAUACAUCCAAAACAACAUCAUAGAUUACGACCCAAUUGUUUUGUUACAAAAGAUUGUAAAUACUAAAUAAGGCAAGUUACGUGACUUGCACAACGCCGCAUUGCUCACAAAACUACCUCAAACCUCAACAAUAGUUGAUAACAUAAUUAAAGUCAAUAAAAAAGCCUAAUUGAAGGAAAUUAAGUUAUUUACUUUAUUAGCUAUAAAAUCUUAUUCAUUCAUUUAGUUACUUGACGGGCAUAUACAAUUAAAAGUUAAUCAUAUAUAUAAAUUAGUUCUCGCUCUACCUAUUUGCUAUUAGGGUCGCACAUAUAUACAAACGCUAAAGAAAACAAAUAGAAAAUACUAGUUUGAUCCCUGUGCAAUGCACGAGUCUACUGUACUUAAUAAUUAAAACAUAUUAUUUUACUUCAUAUUGUUUUUUUAAUUAAAAGAUUUACAAAUAAUGUAAAUAAAGAAAUUUAAAAAUAAAAUAUUCAAAAAAUACUAUGUCAAAUUAAAUAAUUUUAAGAAAUAAGUACUUUAUUUUAAUAAAAAAUGAGAAUCCUUUUUAUUAAAUAUUCAUAAAUUGAUUUUUAAAUAGAUUUUUUAUAUUUAUAUAAUGAUUAAGAUUUGAGCCCAACAAUUUUAUUAAUAUUGUCGUUCACUUGCCGUAAUUAUAUAGUGCCACAUAGGGUUAUUUCCUAAUUUGGUUGUACAGAUUAUGUAUAAUAUAUAGGGUUAUUAUUUGAUAUAUUAGCGGUGGUGUUUUUAACUCGGCAAGGAAAUUUAAGAAACGGUCAAUUGUCUUUAAUUGAUAUUAAAAAACACUAAAUAAAUAAUACACAUGAUGGUUUUUUAAACUGUUUGUGGAAUUAAAAAAUUUCACCACUAAAUAUCAAAUAAUAAUAUUUGUAUAUUAUUUAUACAAUGAUAAAUGGUUGAGAUGUUGAUUUUCAUUUUUUACAUUAACUUGUUUCAUGCAAAUUUUUUAUUUAGCCUACAAGUCGAAUAUACUGCUUGCAAGUUAGGGACAAAAAUACAUCCAUUUAUAUGAUUUUUAUUUUACAAAUUAAUCUGGCAUAUCUUAACAUAUCAACUCCAGAUUUGGAUCUUGAAACAUGUAGACACUUGCGUUGAAUGGGCCGCUCGCUUCUAAGAGGAUGGACCUAGAUUUCUUCUCUACUAUUUGUUUUCUUGCAUUUUAUUAUUUUUAUUUAAUAAAUUAAUAAAUUAGUUCCUAUGCACUGGUUAUUCUAUUAAAAAUUAUACUCAUGUCUUCUGUUAAAAGCCGGUCCCUAUACAUUAGAAUGAGAUAAUGUGGCACACCACGUGUAACUAUCUAGUUAUUCUAUCAGCCACAUCGAUUUUUAACAAUAAAAAUCGAUAGAAAUUUUUAAUAGAAAAAGUCAGUUUACUCUUUGAUCUAAUGUAUAAAUAUUAAAUUACCCAUUUUUAAAUAAAUGAAACAAAAUGUAAUCUAUAAAUGAAACAAAAUGUAAUCUAACUCUUAACAUAAAAGCCUCCAUGAUAAUUUUAACAUAAAUUAAAUUUAUUACAAGAAAUAUAAAGGCUACACACCAUCUUUUCCCCACCUCUAAAUUUAGAGGGUAUGUAUAUUUGGGGCAAGCAUUGUUUUCUAGGUUUUAAAGUGUUAAACUUGUCCCUGUAUCAUUUAUUAAAUUAUAUUUUAAUUCUUUUGGAAAACUAAAUAAAUUAGUCAUUAUACAUUAGACGAAGGAGUAAAAUAGUAUUUUUGUUAAACUUGUGCCGUUAAUAUAAGAUAAAAUAAUAAAUUUAGCCUUCAAUCUUUACAUUUCUUUUUUCAAUUUGACUCCUACUAUUUUAUUUGGACCCUAAAAAUUUCAUCGUUGAUAUGAAACUAUUUUAUCUUAUACGUCACAUUAUCAAAUAAUUUAAAAAUUAUUAAAAAAAACUCUUCAAACUGAAAAAAUGUAAAAGAAAUAAAAAAUUAUAAUUUUUUUCCCAAAAUUUCAAUAAAAGAUAUCCAUUUUCAACAAUUUAGGUUACCAUAUUUGUUGCGGUCAUUUUGCACAUUAAGAAAUACCAUUUUCCACAAUUCCAUGGCAGCUUUGUAGUGUGAUUCACGUACCAUGACAUGUUUACAUUAAGAAUCAGUGAAUAAAUAAACAUUAAAGUUCUUUUAGCCUCUAAUUUGGUCGUAUUAGUAUUAAUAAAAAAAAUUAGAUAGUGUUUUAGAAAUCUUUGGAUUUUGUGUAAUUGUGUAACACCCCUUACUCGAGUCCAUAGCCAGAGUCGAGCAUGAGGCGUUACUUAACUUAACUUAAAGGUUCGGAGCAUAAAAAUUUACUUAUAAAAGUUAUUUUACUGUUCUUAAUAAAGCUGUCCACCUGCGCAGAAAUCACUAAAUUAAUUAUAACUCAAGAUACAAAACUCGAAAUUUAGAUCCGUAAAUUUUCUAUGAAACUAGACUCAUAUAUAUUUUCACCAUAAAUUUUUCAGAAUUUUUAGUUCAUCCAAUUAGUACAUUUUAUUAGUUAAAGUCUCCCCUGUUUCACUGGUCGACUAUCCUGACCUCUCGUCACUAAAAUUCAAUUAUCUCAUUGUACAGACUUCAUAUGGUGUUUCUACUUAUUUCUACUUAAAAUAGACUCAUUAAGGAAUCUAUACAUAUAAAUUAUAACUCUUAAUCCCUUUUUUACAAUUUUUAAUGAAUUUCUAAAGUCAAAAUAGGGGACUUCAAAAUCAUUCUGACUCUGUCUCACUAUAAUUAAGAUAUCUAAGAGUAUAUAACUCUUUUGCUUACUCUAUUUCUUUUAUGUCAAAGUAUACUCAUUUAGCUUUAAUUUCAUAUCUCACUCAGCUUCUAAUUCAAUUUACACCAUUUUUGAUGAUUUUUCAAAGUUACAUCAAUGCUGCUGUCCAAGAACUGCUCCAUUGCAAUUUUUUUUAAAAAAUUCAAUAUAACCCCUUUAUAAUUAUCUAACCUUCCCUGCAAAUUUCAAAUCACAACCAAUUCCAGUAUUUCAACUACUUCAUUUAAAUACUAAUGAAGUUCAACCAAUCAACCAUUUCAAACUAAAAACAUGUAUAUAUUUCGAUAUUUAACACAACCAUAACAUUCAAAUUUACUUUGCAUACUUAGUCAUUCAUUCUAUUACUUUUUAUCUCAAUUCCCUAUACAUGCCAUAUAAAUCCAAAUUUAUUUAACAAAAUCUACCAGAGUAAAUCUGGAUAGUGUGAUUUCUGAUGUAGAUCCGAUCCUCCGAAUGUAUAAAUACGUCAAUCUACAAAAAACAAUAAACACACACAAGUAAGCUUAUAGAAAGCUUAGUAAGUUCAUAGGCACAAAACAUGAAUCUUACGAAACAUUUAUACACUUAUACAUUAUACACCAUUACUAAGUUUACCUGUCAACCACAAUCUUUGGUGAGUUCCUUGGUAUAAACUCACUACUACUUAUUCUUUUACCAUAAUUCCUUUGGGCCCAUUUGUCACUUACCAUCCUUGAUCAAAAUUAAGGAACGAUUACGGAAAAUUGAGUACUUCACUUUCACUUUUCCAUACGAUCUCUUAUCACUUGUCCCUGAUCAGAUAAGUGUAGCUAGGCUACCACUUAUCACUUUGUCACUUGAUCAGAUAAGUGUAGCUAAAGCUAUCACUUAUCACUUUAUCACUUGAUGAGAUAAGUGUAGUUAAAGCUACCACUUAUCAGUUUGUCACUUGAUCAGAUAAGUGUAGUUAAAGCUACCACUUAUCACUUUGUCACUUGAUCAGAAGUACUCAAAUCUGGCGUUCCGCUCAAUUUGAUCAUUUGUUCAGUUUUCGCAUUUUUAUUUUAUUUUCAUUUCAUCAAUAAAUAUAUAUUUCAUCAUACAUUAUAUAAUUCAUGAAAUUAACAUUUAAUCAUAAAAUUUCGGCCAUAUGAACUUACCUAGAUCGAUUUGCAGAAUUUGUAAAAGUUCAGGGGCUAAUCGGCUACUUUUUCUUUUCCUUGACUUGUUUCGGGUUCUCGAUAUAAAAUAAAAAUUUAUUCAUUCAUCAACAUAUAAUUCAAUUCUAAUUCAUUUAACAAUUUAUGCCCUUUAAUUUUCUAAAUUACACUUUUACCCCAAACUUUACAAUUUUUACAAUUUGGUCCCUACUUAAUUAACCCCUCAAUUGAUCUAAUUUUUCUCAAUUAACACCUUUUACAACUAUUUUAGACUACUUCAUAGCCUUUAAUAUUCAAAACCGCAACACCAAACCUUAAUUCCCAACUUUUUCACAAUUAAGUCCCUAAAAUCAAUUUCUAUCAAAAUUACUUAAUAAAGUCAUCAUAUAACAAAUUUAAAGCUUUAAUUCCAUGUUUAUUCAUAAUAAAAAUCAAUAACUCAUCAAUGGUAACUCUAAAAAUCAGCCAUGAGAUAAAAAAACUAAUGAACUAAUUAGUUGGACUUAUUUGUAAAAGUAUCAAAAUCACAAAAAUUAGAAGAAAUAAUCAAGAAUUAAACUUACAUGAUUCAAAUAUAUGAAAAACCAGCUUGUUUCAGACCUCCUAUGGCGUUUUUCUGAUAAAUUGUGAAGAGAUCUCUAGAUUUUUCACUUUUGUCUUUGUUUUAUAUGCUUAAUUUGUUAAGUUUCCAAUUUUGCCCCUGUUUCUCCUUACAUUCUGCUGAUUUUUCUUACCCAACCGUCCAGCCCAUAUAAUUUGGGCCUAAUUUCCUUUUAAAUCCCUCCUCAUUAGUCACUUAAGCUAUUUUUAUCACAAUUUAACAAAUUUUACACUAUUUUCAAUUUAGUCCUUUUUAGUUAAUUAACUGUCCAAACGUUAAAAUUUUCUAACGAAACUUUAAUACCAACUCAAUGACACUCUAUAAAUAUUUCUAAAAAUAUUUAUGGCUUGGUUUAAAAUCUUCGACGUCUCGAUACCUCGUUUUUGAUUUUAAUUAUUUUAAUAUUUAUUCCUAGUACACUAUUCACUAUUUCAAAAAUUUUCCUAACUUCACAUUUAACUUAUACUUACUAAAUUUAUAAUAUUUUCUACUCGUUUAUCAGAUUUAGUGAUCUCGAAUCUCCAUUCCGACACCACUAAAAAUUUAGGCUAUUACAAAUUGUUUGUAAUUAUAUAUAGGUGGUAUGUUUGAAUAAUCAUUGUAAUUAGUGAGUUCCAUCGAAUUGAGUGUAAUUGGAGUAGAGGUAUCCUUAAGCCAGGUUGGGUUGGACCCAAGCUCGGUUCCAAUAAUUUCAAACUCAAGCCCGUUUUUGGACCGCCCGCCCAAAAAAUCAAUUUUACUAUUCAAAAAAAUAUUAUUAAAAAUAAUAUUUUAAUUGAUAUUUUAUAUACUUUUAUAAUUAAAUUUAAAUUUAAAAAAUAUUUUAUUAUUAUUAAAUUGAAUUUGUGUCGAGUUGAGGUGCAAAAAUCCUUGUCCAAGCUCGAUUCUAGUCGGGUCAAGUCACAUAGACUACCCGAUCUUUGGACAAGUCUAAAUUGGAGCACCCUAAUUACACUUUCCAGUUUUUAGAGUGAGGGUGAGAAUUGAAGUAAUUACGUUGGUGUUACACUCAAAUCCAAUUUUAAAAAUUAUUUUGAUACAAGUUAUAAAAGAAGAAAUUAUUCAGUAUAUUGUUAGUGGAGUUUUUAAACUCUACAAAUAGGAUAAAGAGUUUGACAAAUGUCUUAUAAGGGUAUAGUAAAAUAUUAAAAAAAACACGUCAAAAUUUUAAGGCUGUUUGUGAAAUAAAAAAAGUACAGUGCCACCCAAUAGUUACUCUUAUAAAAGAAUAUAUUAUAUCUAUGAACAUGUAUAAGUGUUUGGGAUGGUUAUGACAAAAGAAUUCGUGUAUUAUAAAUCCUAAAAGCUUAUAUUAUAAAAGUAACUUGUGUAUUUUAUAAAAUUAUAAUAUAUAUUAUUUAAAUCUUAAAAAAUUCUAAAAUUAUGAUAAAAAAUUAUUAUAAAAAACUAAUUUAUAUGUUAUAAAAAUGUUGUUAUAGCAUUUUUAUUUAUAAUAAGUUAGGGCAAAAAAAUAUGGAUAUAAUUUAUUUAUGUCCUAUAUAAUUUACCUUACUUAAAUUCGGACCUGACCCGGUCUGUCUAUAUUUAAUUUUUUAGAUUAUUUUUUAUUUAAAAAUAUUUUUUUUAAAAAUAUAAUACACUAAAUACACUAAAAAUGCUAAAAUAAAAGUUUUCUAACACAUUAAAAAUAUUUAUAUUAAAAAAGACUACCAUAAAUAUAAUAUAUGCUUUAUUAUAUUAAAAGCGCAAAUAAAUAUAAUAAAUAAUUUAUUGUAUUAAAUAUAAAUUUUAAAAUUUUAUAUUUUGGAUUGGGUUAUUUAGUUGGGUUACUUUUUUUUAGGUUUUGGAUAAUGAGUUUAAUUGUUAUUGAGUUAGUGGUUUAAUAUAAAUAAAUAUAGAUAUAAACAUAUAUAAUCAUUUUUUAUAACAUAAUAUAUUCGGGUCGAACUGAGCUCGUGUCUAAAAUAUUACCCGAGGCUUGGCCUAUAUAGAAAACGGAUAAUAAAUUUUACCCAAUCCCAUUUUUUGGGUCUCAUAUUUUUGUCUAAACUUCUCAUAGUUCAAGUGGAUCUUUAGACCUAAAUGAGUGUAAUGGUGUAUGUAUAGGUUUUAUAGAGCAAAACUAAAAAUAUAUGUAGGGGUGAUAUUGAAUUAUAAGUGUUUUUAGGCUGAUGAUAUUCAAGCGUUUGAAGGAAGAAGAGACCCAAACACUUGUUUGCGACUUCUCUUGAAAUUGUAUAAUCAAUUAUAGUUUUAACAAGAGUUGGUCUCUCACCUAUUAAUUAUAUAUAUCAAUACAAUAGCAUGAGAUUGGUGGUUGAGGGUAAAAGUAUAAAGAAUAUUAAAUAUAAUUAAUAAUUUUUCUUUUAAAAUUAUUCAAGUUUCUUUUUGCUUUCCUUUAUUUUCUUGUGAGUAGUUAAGAAAAUUUUAUGUUUGCCAUACCUUAAUUUUCGUAUCAGUUGUUAAGAAAAUGAUUUUUUUUUUCUAUCAUUUAACAUUUUUCUUUAAAUUUUAAAAUGUGUUUAAAAAUAUUUUCUUUUCGAAAUUCUAUUUUUUUUAAUUUGGAAUUCUGUGUUUUAUUUAUUUAUUUUAGAACAUAUUUUUAUAAUUUUAAAAAAAAUAUGUCUGAAAAUAUAAAACAAAAUAGUGUUACAUAAGCAAGGUAAGAUUGGUGAUCAAUUUACUUCAAAUAAAAGAAUAAGGGCCAAUAUGAAUAAAAGUGUAAAAGUUAAUGGAUAAAACAUCAAAAUAUAAUUCUUUUACAUGCAAAGUAAUUUACCCAUUUUUGGAUAAAAAGACUAAGCUCCAGCCUGGAAUUAAGCCUCCAGUGAGGUGAAAUGCAUUUUCAACCUACUGAACAAUGCUUUCCAAAUAGUCUUGCGUUUACUAACAUUUCAGUUGCAAUUUUUUUUAGCUUAAAAAAGCCAACGUACUGAGAUGCAGUUGCAUCCAAAGGAGGCUUAAAUUAAAUAUAUAUGAAGAUAGUUGUAGACUGCAAUGAUAGUAAAUAAACAUCCUUUCUUUGGACAUAUGAGCAUGGAAUAUUGUGUACCUGUAUUUAAGGAAUAUCCUAAUCCCACGAGCCAUGUUCUGGUGCCCAGACAGGCUGCCAGAUGCUUCUUCCAAAAACCAUUCAAAUCAGACAUCGACUACCAAACCGUCAGGCAAGCCCGACAUCUAUUGAAAUUCAACCUCAUUUCAUAUUGAUCGUCUCAUUCCUAAACAUUAGCUCUUCUCUGGGUUUGGUUUGGUCUAUUGCUUUAAAUCAAUUAUCCCAAAAUGACUCCUAGAAUCUAGGUGCUAAAAUAAGUAGUCGAUUCAUAUGAAAUGAAAACGCUGUUGCUCGCAUACUAGCGCUACUAAAUGACCAAUUAUUGCUUUGGACGAAUGCAGCAUGUGAUUUGCCCUGCCAACACAAUAUUCUUCCAUUUCCAGUGGUGGCCAACCGGAUUGAUUAGCUUAAGUGUCAAUUGGUCCACUUCUGAUUUCCUACCCAUUUAAUAUUUGUUGCCAAUGUUAAAGAGUAAGGGAUGAGGAUAGCCAUUAACCACCAUCCGCUCUUUAAAUAAUACCUAAAAUAGGCAACCACCCACCCUGCUUCAUCCAUCAAAAUUUCACAAAGUAAAUAAAAAACAAACCUAAAUUAAGGAAUUCUUUUUUCGUUAAAACUCGUUUCAUAAUCCCAUUAUUGCUAUGUUGUUGUAUCAAAGAGGAUCGUCUUGCUCAAGACUCUAGAGUGUAGCCAGCUCAUUCCAGCAAACUCCCACUCCCUACAUCUUAUCCCUUAAAAUCCCCCCCACUGGCUCUCUCCUUCACAUAUUCCUUUCCAACACAAACCAAAAGACAUGGCUUCAUCAUCUCCUCUUUCUCCCAUUCUCCUCUCUCUGUUUCUAGUAUUCAUUUGUGGGGUGUCAGCUCAAACGGCUCCCGCCCCUGCCCCCUCUGGCCCCUUGAAUUUCACUGGAAUCCUUGACAAAAAUGGCCAAUACACCUACUUCCUUCAGCUUUUGGCACAGACUCAAGUUGGGAGCCAAGUACAAACUCAACUGAAAACCACCACUGAAGGCUUUACCGUCUUUGCUCCCACAGAUAAUGCCUUCAACAACCUCAAACCUGGUACCGUCAAUAACCUGGACCCACAACAGAAAGUACAACUAGUUCUAUACCACGUUAUUCCCAAAUACUACUCCUUGAACGAUCUCCAAUUUGUUAGCAACCCCGUUAGAACCCAAGCUGGUCAGGAUUUCGGCCUCAACGUCA